UCCGCCAGGGGACUACAAGCACAGCUUAAAACCCAAAGGACUUGGCGGUGCCUCAGACCCACCUAGAGGAGCCUGUUCUAGAACCGAUAACCCCCGUUAAACCUCACCACCCCUUGUUUUCCCCGCCUAUAUACCGCCGUCGUCAGCUUACCCUGUGAAGGAUUAAAAGUAAGCAAAAUGGGCCCAACCCAAAACGUCAGGUCGAGGUGUAGCGCACGAGGUGGGAAGAAAUGGGCUACAUUUUCUACCACAGAACAUUACGAAUGGUGCCCUGAAACAUGGAGCCUGAAGGAGGAUUUAGUAGUAAAAAGCAAA
This 315-nucleotide ribosomal RNA is filed under the name Chaetostoma sp. (in: ray-finned fishes). Its description in RNAcentral is "Chaetostoma sp. partial 12S ribosomal RNA". It matches the Rfam family "Bacterial small subunit ribosomal RNA", at positions 868 to 1349 of the family's 1533-position model. The record is from RNAcentral. Lineage: Eukaryota; Metazoa; Chordata; Actinopteri; Siluriformes; Loricariidae.